This 1015-nucleotide long non-coding RNA is filed under the name Anser cygnoides (Swan goose). RNAcentral describes it as "lncRNA (ENSACDG00005013627.1)". The record is from RNAcentral. Lineage: Eukaryota; Metazoa; Chordata; Aves; Anseriformes; Anatidae.
GGCUACAGAGAAUACACAUAAAAAUGGUGGCUUCAGAGAAGUAGCUCCUUCAUCCUCCAAACCAGAAACUUUCUGGAGGGCAGUCUGCCAGGAGCCCUCCAGCAAUAUUGCUCUGACUACUCUGAAUGGCGUGGACACAGCCUGUCUCUGCCCAUGUACCCAUCUUUGUCUGACCAUUCUACUAGCCAGUUAUUUACAGAAGCCAGAUAAACAAGUGGGUUUUUAGAUUCUGUUCUCCAUGGAUAGCUUUGAUGACAUUCAUCCAUGAGGAAGGAAAACUGUCUGACCACGAGACAAAAAUACACUGUAUAGUACUAAAGAUCUGAGCAGCACAAGACCUGAGUGACUUCCAGUGAGCAGGGGAAAAAAAAAAUCAAAUAAAAAACAUGUUUUUCACAGCAGACUUCAAACAUCCUCCGUUUUUCAGUGAAAAAGUGACCCACUUGUUUAUGGCUUUUUAAAAAGAUAUUAUUUUUUUGUGUGUUUUGCCAACAGCUGAUAAAUAUUCUUGUGGAUGAACUUUCAAAGAAAAACAUGUUUUUCAGUCUCUACCAGCCUUUAACUUCCUUGCUUUACACAAUCACAAGAGAGAGUGAGCAGUGAGGAAGGAGGGGGUAGUUGUGCCUUUUACCAUAGCUCUUUUUUUUCUUUUUUUCCUAGAUCUGCUUUUGUUUACAGACGUAAGACAAGGUAAAAUACAUUUUCCUUCAUUAAGAAAGGAAACCACAGACAGAUACUUUUUCUGCCAGCUUAAAAAAAAAUAUAUAUAUAAAUAUAUAUAUAUAUAUACACACACACUUCUGCUCCAACAGUCAAGCUGAUGACCUGCAUUUCGUUUGUAAAUAAUGUUUUAAACAUGCAAGUAUUUUCCAGAUUGACAUCUGAAUGAGUGUUUGUGAGAGCUUCUGGCUUUGGAGAGGUUGUGCAGGUGGAUGGCUGGUUUGGAAGAAAGGACUUGUUGGAUAUGAUUCCAGCUUGAAUCAGGUGUUUAGGUCAUGACCUGAACAGCAGACUG